CACUUAUCACAACAACUGCAUGCAGAAAGGGCUUAAUAAGUAAUAAUAGUAAUGACACUAAUAAUAAUGGCUCAUACGGUUUAUUAUUUGAGCUGUUUUAUUAUUGAAUCUCAAUUAAAUCAUUCAUUAGAUGGAAGAAACAUGUCCUACCUUCUGGGGCUAUUUUUGGAGUUGAAUGAGCUAGUGUACGUGAACACACUCUGUAUAUGCGCUGAAGCAUUCUGUUAGAAAUAAUAACAAUAAUGCUUGUGUUUUCAUUUAUUGAGAAUCUACUAAAUGCCAGACAUUUGCAUAUUAUUGCUAAAUCUCCACAGCAAUGCUCUAAGGUAGGUGGUGGUAUUUUUUACGGGAAAUGAAACAGGCUUAGAAGAAUUUGCCUGGGAUCAUGCUUAGAUUUCAACCUAGAUCUUUUUUUUUUUUAAUUCAAUUUACCAUUCUACAUAGCCACAUCUCAAUGAUAAUACCAGAACUGUUGAUACUAGGUUGUUGUUCCUGUGGAUAAUAGAAUCAAGCUCCUUCCUGUCUCCUAGUCUGGGCUGUCGUGUCAUCACUAAGUAAGCUAGCAUACACUGCAUGUAUUUGAUGUUAAGACAUGAUUUUGAUGAAAUGCAUUUACUGUGUACUCAUUCACAAACUUGCAUGUGUAUCCACGCACUAAGCUUGGGGCUGUGAAGGAAGUUCCAAAAAAGAAGGAACAUGUCAGCAAGUCCUCGGCAAUGGCAGUGUGGUUGAUACACGGACUGUAUCCCCAAGGGGGAUAAUUUGAAGGGCAUGCUUUUUGAAUGGGUGAGUUCCUAUAUUUUUAUUAUAAUGUUUGAUGCUUUUUUAGUCACUCCUCAUGCUUUUAUAUUUCAGUUACAUGAAUUUUCAUUCAUAUUGUGGAUUACAAGUAAAUGGAAUUUACAACUGGUGCCCCUGCCUGCAUACUAAUGAAAGAAAAGGAGAAAUAGCUUCAGACGAGGGUGCUGUCCGUCUCCUGUGGCAAGAAAGCCUUCCAAGGAUUCGCAGAGGGAGAGCUUUUCAGUAGGUUUCAAGUAAUAAUCCUUUGGAGAGAGGAGACCAUCCAUCCUUUGUUUUUCUCAUCUUGUUUUAAAUCACUGGAAAGCAGAUAUUAUCACCGUGGUCUAGUUAAAAAUGGUGGAGCCCUGAAUAAUUUGCAGUCACCCCUUUAAUAGUUCGGUUCAGUUAGAGCCUUAUAAAGAAGCACGGUCCGCGCAGAGGUGCCCUGCCUGCCCUCCUCGCGGUCUGUCUCCCCCUUUGUUGGGGGGGUGGCGGGAAGGGGAAGCGAACAAGCAGCUGUGCUGUUACGUCUGCAGGCUUCUGCCAACCAUAUGGCAUCUUAAAGAAAGAUGGUCGGAGCGUCUGGAUUAGCAAAGAGUCGGGAUGGGAAGCCAUGUGUCGUGUUGGUACAGGCAGUUGUUUGAGCUCUCUCUAAAUGGCUUCAGGAGAUUGUGUAAUGGAACAAAUGGUCCUGCGAGCCCAGGAACAGCCUUGCCACUGCUGGGGAGGCAAUUGGCCCUCGGGCGGGUACUGCUCCCCUCCCCCAGUAUUAUGCACUCUUAAUGUUCAUCAAACUCUGAGAACUGACUCAGAACUUUUCAACUUCUAAUUAGGCUGGCAGGCUUUCCCUGCUCUGUGUCUGCCUGAACUGCCUUGCUCUCUGAUCUUGUAAUUAAUGACUCCCGGUAGCACCUCAUGAGCUCCCCAGCCCUCUGCAGGGGGCCAGGCUCAGCCCACCCACACUCCAGUGCAUUUCUCUGGGAGGUUGCCCAGCUAUUGGGGAAUGUGCCCUCCCACCAGAAUCUCCCAAAACCCCCUAGGAUGGAAAAUCGUUCAUUCCUUAGUAAGUCGGCUGAGGUUUUGUACAGUCCCACGUGUUGAGCACAUGAGAGAUGUGUCCCUUCACUAUUUUGGACCUUAUGUGUGGCAUUAAAAAAAAUUACACUAAUUCCUAGCAGCGACGUCUUUGGAUCUUUGGAUCUCACGUGCCGUUUACUCAGCAGUUUGAGACGUUGGGAUUCAACUCCCUAACACAAAAUGUAAAAUGUAAGUUUAAGAGUUGAGACACAAUGAUACUACUGGCAGUAUUUCAGCUGUGGUCAAGUUCCUGGACCAUUCUUGUUUUGAGAGGCUAAAAGGCAGAAGGAACCUUGCAAACUUCCAGCAAGAGCAGAUCUUUCAAGUUUGUUGUCUUAGUCAAACUCUUUGGACAUUUCAGCUACUUUUUAGGCAAAGAGAUCUCUGUUGUCAUUGUAGGUAGGGUCACUGUAUAUGCAAUGCAAUAUCUUUACUGCUAGAAAAGUUAGGUCCACCCCCUCAAUGGGAUGGAUGACUAACUCUGAGGCUAUGGGGUAUCAUAACUGUGGUUAAUGGAAGGUAAAAUUAGUAGAUUCAGUGAAAGAACUGGACAAUUUAUCUGACCAAACCACCAAUCAGUUUGAUGAAGUAAGUGGUCAGUCAGGGCAGUGGGAGUCACUGGGGGGUGCCUCGUUUAUACUGCCCCCCAUGGGAGCAGAACAGCUUGAACAGAAACACCUCCUUAGGGGUCGAGCUGCUCCUUCCCUUCUCACAGGCAGUAAGGCCCCGGAAAACAGUUAAGUAAGAAAUGUAGCGCCCAUGCUGAGUGAGUUAGCUAUGGUCCACUGUAGGACAGAGGAGGCUCGUGUACAACCUCUGCCAAAGGUACUUUGAGCAAUGACAAUGCAUCCGAGUUCAUUCUGCUGUGCAGUGAGGCAGAGGCUUCCCCGCCAAAGAGAAACGAGACCAGAGCAUGUGUGGUGAGGCUCCCAUGCGAGGAGAGGACACAGAAUCUGGAAAUCUGAAUGUGCCUUCAGACUGUAAUCAUUUUUAUGUACUUGGGUAAGGAAGAUGAUUUUUACUUUCUUAAGGUCAUCUGAGAAUCAUUUGAAGAUUGUUACCAAUUUCUUUCAUAAAUAAAUAUUUUCUUCAAGGA
Molecule: long non-coding RNA, 2953 nt
Organism: Manis javanica (Malayan pangolin)
Lineage: Eukaryota; Metazoa; Chordata; Mammalia; Pholidota; Manidae
Source: RefSeq, a predicted model, not a curated record